This 450-nucleotide ribosomal RNA is filed under the name uncultured bacterium. Its description in RNAcentral is "bacterial SSU rRNA". It matches the Rfam family "Bacterial small subunit ribosomal RNA", at positions 328 to 793 of the family's 1533-position model. The record is from RNAcentral.
CUCUGUGACUCCUACGGGAGGCAGCAGUGGGGAAUAUUGCACAAUGGGCGCAAGCCUGAUGCAGCAACGCCGUGUGAGUGAAGAAGGUUUUCGGAUCGUAAAACUCUGUCCUAAGGGAAGAAACAAAUGACGGUACCUUAGGAGGAAGCCCCGGCUAACUACGUGCCAGCAGCCGCGGUAAUACGUAGGGGGCAAGCGUUAUCCGGAAUCACUGGGCGUAAAGGGUGCGUAGGCGGCUUAGCAAGCCAGGGGUGAAAGGCAUUGGCUCAACCAAUGUAAGCCUUUGGAACUGUUAGGCUUGAGUGCAGGAGAGGUAAGUGGAAUUCCUAGUGUAGAGGUGAAAUUCGUAGAUAUUAGGAGGAACACCAGUGGCGAAGGCGACUUACUGGACUGUAACUGACGCUGAUGCACGAAAGCGUGGGUAGCGAACAGGAUUAGAUACCCUGGUAG